RNAcentral lists this ribosomal RNA (636 nucleotides) under uncultured fungus. RNAcentral's name for it is "eukaryotic LSU rRNA". It matches the Rfam family "Eukaryotic large subunit ribosomal RNA", at positions 24 to 664 of the family's 3401-position model. The record is from RNAcentral. Lineage: Eukaryota; Fungi.
CCCGCUGAACUUAAGCAUAUCAAUAAGCGGAGGAAAAGAAACUAACAAGGAUUCCCCUAGUAACUGCGAGUGAAGCGGGAAAAGCUCAAAUUUAAAAUCUGGCGGUUUCACCGUCCGAGUUGUAAUUUAGAGAAGUGUUAUCCGCGCUGGACCGUGUACAAGUCUCCUGGAAUGGAGCGUCAUAGAGGGUGAGAAUCCCGUCUUUGACACGGACUACCAGGGCAUUGUGAUACGCUCUCAAAGAGUCGAGUUGUUUGGGAUUGCAGCUCAAAAUGGGUGGUAAAUUCCAUCUAAAGCUAAAUAUUGGCGAGAGACCGAUAGCGAACAAGUACCGUGAGGGAAAGAUGAAAAGCACUUUGGAGAGAGAGUUAAACAGUACGUGAAAUUGUUGAAAUGGAAACGCUUGAAGUCAGUCGCGUUCUCUGGGAUUCAGCCUUGCUUCUGCUUGGUGCACUUCCUAGUCUACGGGCCAGCAUGGAUUUCGACCGAUGGAAAAAGGCUUGGGGAAUGUGGCACCUCCGGGUGUGUUAUAGCCCUUUGUCAGACACGUCGGUUGGGAUCGAGGACCUCAGUGCACGCUUCGGUUGUGCUUUGAUGCUGGCGUAAUGGCUUUAAACGACCCGUCUUGAAACACGG